RNAcentral lists this long non-coding RNA (7326 nucleotides) under Homo sapiens (human). RNAcentral's name for it is "HSALNT0101376". The record is from RNAcentral. Lineage: Eukaryota; Metazoa; Chordata; Mammalia; Primates; Hominidae.
GCGGGAGCCUUGAGAGAGACCCCCUGAGUUUCCCAUGGGGAGCUGAAGUUUGGUUCCUGCCUCUCACUGUGCAUGGUGAUUUAAAAUACGUACCCAUCAUGGGAUACAUGUUGACUGAAUCCACCUGCAUUGGGAUGACUGCUGCAGAAGGCAUUGACUCUGUUUCAUCCCUGCACUUAUUUGGGCUCAUGUGCAAUGCUGAGCUACCCAGAGGACAUCUGUGUGAGUUCCAGCAGCAGCAGCCAAUCAGCUAAUCAUCCUUUUUCCAGUGCCAGGCGAGGUUGACUGGGACCCUGAGUUUGGUUCUACCGUUUGGAAAUAACACAGAGGAUUACUUCUUGGGGUCUCUCAGCCAACCAAAGUCACUUCUUAAGACUGGGCCUUUCUACAGAGGAAUCUUAGGAGCAGAGGCUCUUAGAUCAGAUGAGAAAAGGGUGAUGGAGAAUCUGGUUUUCCUUCUCAGAUCGUUCCUUUCAAGUCCCAUCCUAAAGACUUCACCAACGCUGAGGUCCAACUAUCCUGAUCAGAAUUCAAACCAGGUUCCCAUGAGCACUGGCUCAUCCACAAAGUUAGUAGGCUUGGUAAUGGCCAGGCCUUGAAUUCCCAGAGUCUUGGAUUGACCCAACCAGGGAGUAGUUGGAGAGACACAUGACAAGGGCCAUGCCCUGGAAAGCUGGGCCAGAGCACCUAUCAGUUGAUCACAAUUGCAGGGCAUGAGGAACUUGGAAUAGAAAACAGAGUACAAAGAACUCAUCAGAACACCACAGACAGGACCUCUUGAUCACUGGAGAAGCUAUUCAGGCAGCCACUGUCCCCAGAGAACCCCAGGAAAGAACAAAAACAGGGGUGUCAUUUUGGAGCCUUCAGUCAAGAAUCAUCUCCUGUUCUUGGCUGGGCUGCCAUGAGGGUGGGGUGCACACAGAGCCCUGGGAAAGGAAGAAAACACGGUUGCAACACCACUAUUUUGUUUCUUCUAACACCCUCCUUUUUCCCCACUCACAUUUGAGCACUUACGGGCAUCAUUUGUUCUAAAACAAAGGAAGAAAAAUAUAUCUGUUAUGAGUUCCCUCUGUGCUUGACUGAGUUACCUGGCAUUGGGAUGGCUUGUUUUCUGGGAUGCCCAGAGCUGUACACAUUCCUUUCUGGGGUGAAUACUUCGUAUAGAGAGACAUAAACAGCCAACUAGGCUGCAGGGAGUAAACCCUGUUACUAACUUUUCUUUCUUUGGUGCUACAUUCCUGCGGAGAUAAAUAUAUAGAAAGACAGACAGAUUAUAAAGGAGGAAGGGCAUUGUGUCAGCAUGAGGGCUCCAAGAGAACAAAAAGGGUUAUCGUGUGCAAAGGUUGAAAAUAGAAUUUAAAGCUAUCAGGACUGGGGAAAGAGUUGAGGCCUCCCAGGAAAAAUCUGCAAAGAAAACUUGAACCUUCCAGGAAAACAAGCCCUGGGUAGAGUUGGGUGAAACUGAAACCUGAAAAUCCAUUUUCCAGAAAUGCGAUUGGGCAGAGAGGAGGGAAGCCACUACUAUCAAGUUUUUCCCAGAGCAAGCAAGGCACGCUGGCUUUGUACAAAGAGGCUUAUUUAGAAGCUGCCCUGAGCUGAAUGCAGGCAGGUGGGGCAGGGUGGGAGGGUGGGAUGGGUCGUUGAAAUGAGCCAUCCUAACCUUUCAGACAGAAACAGUGCAGCCUAGCUGCUCUGAGGUGCAUGUUUCUAAAACAAGACCUGGAACAUUAAUUUUACAUUUCAGUCUCUUUGUAAAAAGCAGAUGCUCCUCGCCCACCCCCUUGUUUUUUUUUGGCAAGCUUGUGAAAAUCCAACGAACCAAGUCAAGGCUGUCCGCUAGCCACGGGUGCCUUUAUCUUGUGGAGUAUCUGUUCCUUUGUGGAUCAAGCAUGGAAUGAAAACCGUGCUGAAGAAAGGUCGCUUCUCAUUUUAGACUCCAUUUCAAUGGGUAGUUAACCUCUGAGUCAACCGACUCUGUACCCAUGUUCAAUUUCCUCCGCCUGUUGGGCUCUUCCAUUUACCCUCUUUUAUAAUUAGAGUACAUCUUGUUUACAGUGCACAAAGCUGGUUUAAGAUCCAGUUGGCCAUGUGCCCUCUCGUUACAGGACCGUGCUCAGAACAGUCAGCUGUGAGUGCAGCCAGUGGGAUGAAAAAAACUAAGGGAAGGAAGCUGCCCUUUAAGGAACCUCGGCCUUACUGAUUAAAGUAAUAAUUAAGCCAUUAUAUCUGUUGGGGAGCUAUUUGGGCUUGCCUGCUACCUUUUCCAACAAAAGCCCUCAGCCAGAGAUUCCAGCCAAGCACCUCAUUAUCAUGUGGGUGCCAGGGCGGCAUGCCAGGAUCGGCACCCACCCCAGGCAACAUGGUUUAAAUUUUAAACACCUGUCAUCUCCCUGCCUCCAUGUAUCAUUCAUUUUCAGAGGGGAAAGUGACCCUAACAGGAAGUGGGGCUGCCUGAUUCUGGGUUUGCCUUUGAAAGCCAGAAAUGACCCUUCUCCUGAAAUUUUAUUCCAAAUUUAAUUUGAAGCUAUCUCAGUCUAGAAAUAGAUUUGCAUUGGCAUCUCUUGUUGCAGUUGGUAAGGAAAGGAAUUUAGGAUUCAAUUAGAAUUGGUCUUCAUUCUUAACAAGAUUGUUGUCUUAAAGACAAGAAAUAUAUAGCAUGUCUCACUGCAUCCCUCCACUCCCCACCAUGGCAAAAAGGGCCCUGGCAUGCAUAUGUGAUUUUGUGACAUGCAAAGAUCCACUUUUACAACUCCAUGGAGGCAUAUCUUAUUUAGAGAACACUAAGGUAGUUUAAGGCUCUCACUGGCCACUUGCCUUCUUAAAACAGAGACAACCUAUGGAUUAGAGAGGAAGCAAGACUGGAGAAGGCAGUUUGCACCGAUUGGGGCAGGGCAGGUAGAGGAGUGAGCAUGGUUGUAAUAAACUGGGUGGAAUUUAAGGUCUCAGUCCAAAGGCAUCCCAUCUUGCUCCUUCUGGACCCCGUCUCAAGCCUGGCUCCAGCUCCUGAGUCCCACGGCUCUCCAAGGCCUCUUUCUGUUCAUCACAGCCUACGGAGAGAGAUGCAAAGUGGUUUGUGUUUAUUUUAGAAAUAAUCUCAACGUUGCCAGGAAAAGGCUUUCUGGAAAAUGCUGCAGAACUAAAGCUGGUCCAGUAGAAACCGGUGUAAGUGCAAAGAGCAGAGCCAGCUCCUCCCCAGCUCUUUCCCCAGGCUGUUCUUCCUGCUUUUUGAUCUCAGCCUCACUCUACUCCAUCCCUUCUUGAUCCAAGUCCAGAGUCUCUUUCACACCAGCCACGCUGCCAGCAUUGUCGGGAGGUUUGAUGUGGUGUGAAUUCCUGCCCCUGGGAGAUGGACGGAGAAAUUCACAGAAUCUUGGGAAAAGAGAGCUUGGGAAAAUCCUGAAGUCUCUCUUUGCAGCCUUUCUUCUACCAACAGACAAGAUGGAAACUGGCCAUUUCAGAGCACUGGCUUCAAGGAUGUCUAAGGGUGUACUCCAACAUGAAAACGGAGCAUGCAUGUGAGCUGAGUAGUGACAUGCAACAUGCAUGUCCAUUGAUCCUUGCUGCUCAUUCACAUACAGUGUUCGCGAUGCCCCCUGGACACAGAAUUCCAGUGGACCCACCACGUGUGGGGAUUCAGGGGAGACUCAAAGCAAAUACAAGGUUCCAUACAGAUAGCCAGCCAUGGGAGUCAGAAUUUGAACUCAGAUCUGGUCUGGUUCUGAAGCCUCUCUUCUUUCCAGCUGUGAGACAAAGGAGCAAAUAUGAGAAGCACCUUUUGCUCACUUCUGCUUGCCAGCAGAAUUUCACAAAAGCCCUGGACUGUGAAGAUGUUUGGAAAGAUGCUUUGAAGACAAAACCUUUAACAGGGUUAGUGUUUAUGCCUCUGUAAUCUACAACCGGAUGCGCUCUUACACCCAAGCCUUGAUGGGAUUCUGCUGCGACGGAAAUUCUGAGCAAAUUUGAUGUGAUUGUGCAGGUACUGAACCUCCACUUCCUGUCUGUAAGCAGUGGGCUGAAAUCCUGGGCUGGAGCAGUCUCAUAGGAUCUGACAGGCUGUUGCCAGGCUGUAGGCCUUGGUCUGUAGUCCUCAGUAAGACUUCUGAAUACAACUAACUUUAAUUCUUUAAAAGCUUGACUGUUUUCUUUAGUCGGCAUGGCAUUCCAUACCAUUCCAGAAACAGAAGCCAGGAGGAUACGUGAAGGAGAGAGCAAUGGCAUAGUGUGUGAAGCUGAUUAGCUGUUAACUAGCAGAACUGAGAGAAGGCAGCCGGCCAAAUGCCCCGGAGGGGCAAGGAAAAGCUUUUUCAGAGAGUUGGGAAGUGGCACUCCAGUGAGGUCGGAAGCCAUGAAGGUUGACUUAUUUAUUCCACAGUAGCUACAAGAAGAGGGGUCUUUCUAGGGAGUGUGACCAGUUUAAGCAAAGGCUUGGGAGGAGGAAUAAUAACGUGCUGGAAGUGGGAAAGGGGACCUGGUUAAGGGGCUGAAAGUUAUUCCUUGUGGAUCACCUUCUCAUCACACGCUCUUUGACCUCAUUGUAGUUCAAUGGAGGGAAAGAGAGUCAAAAGCAGGAGGGAAGUUUGUUUCUAAGCGGACAGGGGCUCAGCAAACCCAGUCUUCCCCGCAGUCUUACCUGGAGCCAUUGCCUGGGGAAGAGGGUGUUCAGGCCACAGUAUCCCAAGGCUGGGGGCACCUUUGCUCAGAAGCCCCCUGUGGUGCUGCUCCUCAAGAGCCUCCUGGGAGGAAGGGCCAGGGAGCCAGGCGGUUCUCCCUUCCCCUUCUGGAAUCCUGGCCAGUUUCCAUGUACAUAACCCAGCUUAAUCCAUAGAAACAGGAGCUGCAAGGCAUGUUCUUUCUCUUUUUUUCCUCUCCAAGACACGGAAACCUUUAUUUUCUCCCUACAUCACAAACCGGUACUGUUAAAUAAUAUUGGAUAAUUGCACCUGUCGUACUCCCCAUAUUGUGCUGGGGAAAAAUAAUUGCUGGUUUUCUGCUUUGCCGUUUAGCUGUGACUCCGUCAUUUGACUCGGAGCAUGUCAUUUUCUCCCAUUUUAGACCGUGUACAGUCAAACCCUGUGAAAGGACUCACAGAUAGCGGCCCUGCGUGUAUGAGUGGGCGCGGGCCUCAUUCAGCAACGAUUUCUAAUUUAUACAGCAUUGAAUAUCCACAGCUAUAAAUAAACAGUUCUGACUGGCUUUGCUGCCUACUCAAAUGCUUUAUUAAAAAAAAAAAAGUCACCAGCAACUGCAUGAGAAAGGAAAACAAGAAUGUCUGGAUGUGGAUUCUGGCUUCUGAAUCCUGGGCUUGGGAGUGGAGACGCCCCACCUUGGGAGCGGCUCAGUGCUCAGCCCCUCCAGUUUUUGGAAGGCCUGGCCUCCUCGCUCCUCGCUCAGCCCCUCACGCUCCCCACGUGUGGGUGCAAUGUGUUUGGGGAUUACAGUAUAUGAAACUGGCUUCCUGUUAUGACAAGUAUUGCAAGUGAGUAGGUGUGGAGGAGCUGAAAAUAGCUUAAGAAAUGUAGGACCCUUCUGGGGAGAGAAUGGGGUUAAGGCAUUGUUUAGGCAACAAGACGAAUCUUCUACCCAAAUUCAAAAUUGGUUUCAAAUGUGAGACAGCAACACUGGAACAGAAGCAUGAGUAUAGGCCAGUCCCUGGGGUAGUGGUGGCAGCGUCCUUCCUCCUCCUGUAACGGGGACAGUUUCCACCAAUUUGGGAUCUCUUGACCACCUUCUUUUGUCCAGCUCUGCAAGAUGUGGACACAUUUCUGUUUUGUUUUUUAAAUAAAGUUUUUGGAUGACCCGGUACUGCUUUGCUCUGUAAGAAAGAGGAAGGAAAGUGGGCUCAGGAGUCAACUAUCCAUGUGACCUUGGACUUGUCAUUUCCCUGCUCUGAACGCAGAGGUGUGCUGGAGCCAGUUUGCACAACAGGCUCUCGAGGACUAAGUGGUUGUCCACAUCUCUUCCCAACUGUACAUUCAGCAACGUGCUGCCAGCUUGAAAAAGGCCAUGGGGAGAGUGUUUACACCAUGGAAAUGAGCACACAUUAUCAAUCAGAGCCUGACAUCUUUUCCCCAGAGAGCUGGUUGUUAAACCUUUCCCAGCACACCACCCUCAGAAACUCAGUUUGCUCAUUUGUAAAAUGAGAACGUAACUCAUCUCCUACUUACGAAGUUUCCGUGGGCUAGAAUAAGUGGGAGUGGUGAUGAAUUACUUGACACUACACAAAUAUUGCUGGUAUCAUCAUGUGGUUGCUAUAGUUGUCAUUUUCUAUUAAGGGCCUAACAUAGUGCUAUGCAAUCUGCAAAUACCAUAUACCUUUUAGCAAAUGUUUAAUCAGUGUGUUAUUGUUUUGUUGUGUAUCUUUUCUUAAGCUACUGCAGCACCGAGCAUGCCCUUGUGUGCUUAGGCAUGUGCUCAAUGGGAAAUUGUUCCGAGACAUUUCUAGUGUUGGAAGAGAUAUUGCACAAUGGCCAGGCAUGCUGCAAUCAAGGUUUAAUUUGGUCCUAGGGCCAGUAAAGCCACAAAUAGAAAUUUGCAGGCUCAUCCCCACCAAGAGCUUACUGUGACUGAGAGUUACGCAGCCCGAGUCACCUCUGGGGUGUGGAACAUUUGGGUGAUCCCCCGAGGGCUUCACGUUUGGGGAAUUUCCACUGUGGCAACUGUUUCUGAGCUCCUGCUGAGACCAGGUGCUUGGAGCAGUGAAGAGGCAGCAGUAGAUGUGGGGAAAGAGGUGGUAUUCCCAGCUCCAACUGGAAAAGACUUGAGGCCCAUAUUAACAGAACAGUAGAAAAAGAAGUGGGAAUUAAGCAGGUUUCUUGGUGCCUGCCCUGGUCUUCCCUUAGGCUGCCUUCCCACCUGAGAUAUUCUGUCCUCUUCUGUAACCCUUCAAGACCACUCUUGCUCAUUUUUACCAGAUUUCUCCUACAUAAUGUUAGGUUGGGAAGUCCAAGUCCAAUUUCCUUCAGUGUCCACACCCCAACCCAUAUGAGCCUAGUGACAUACUAGUAGACUCAAAUAUGUCUACCCACCAAUAGCCAUUUGCCAUUUGUGUUCUUUAAAAAAUGUGCCCACAAAUAAAGGCCAGGAAAAUAACACUAGGAAAAUCACAGCAGGGAUCAUGAAUCCUUGUUAAGCAUCUGGAAAUCAGCUUUGUUAAACCACACACUAAUUCAGAAAAGUGCUUUGUAGCAAAGCAAUCUCAACAGCCCUUAUAAUUCUAUCACUUCCCAUCCAGAUUCUUCUGCAAGCAAAAUUUAUUACUAUACCAUUUAUUUGAUGAAUUAAUCAAUGUUCAAAUGGAAGAGGUUUUGACAAUGUCACUAUGUUUGA